RNAcentral lists this ribosomal RNA (465 nucleotides) under uncultured Klebsiella sp. RNAcentral describes it as "bacterial SSU rRNA". It matches the Rfam family "Bacterial small subunit ribosomal RNA", at positions 338 to 795 of the family's 1533-position model. Lineage: Bacteria; Pseudomonadati; Pseudomonadota; Gammaproteobacteria; Enterobacterales; Enterobacteriaceae. The record is from RNAcentral.
CCUACGGGUGGCUGCAGUGGGGAAUAUUGCACAAUGGGCGCAAGCCUGAUGCAGCCAUGCCGCGUGUGUGAAGAAGGCCUUCGGGUUGUAAAGCACUUUCAGCGGGGAGGAAGGCGUUAAGGUUAAUAACCUUGGCGAUUGACGUUACCCGCAGAAGAAGCACCGGCUAACUCCGUGCCAGCAGCCGCGGUAAUACGGAGGGUGCAAGCGUUAAUCGGAAUUACUGGGCGUAAAGCGCACGCAGGCGGUCUGUCAAGUCGGAUGUGAAAUCCCCGGGCUCAACCUGGGAACUGCAUUCGAAACUGGCCGGCUAGAGUCUUGUAGAGGGGGGUAGAAUUCCAGGUGUAGCGGUGAAAUGCGUAGAGAUCUGGAGGAAUACCGGUGGCGGAGGCGGCCCCCUGGACAAAGACUGACGCUCAGGUGCGAAAGCGUGGGGAGCAAACAGGAUUAGAUACCCUAGUAGUC